Molecule: long non-coding RNA, 2009 nt
Filed under: Gallus gallus (chicken)
Lineage: Eukaryota; Metazoa; Chordata; Aves; Galliformes; Phasianidae
Description: long non-coding RNA NONGGAT002829
Source: RNAcentral
GCUGUGUCCAGUUUGGAGCCAUGGUCGCCAGCUGGAAUGAAGGGCCUAAGGAGUGUCCGUUUCUCUGGCUCCUAUUUGAGUGCAAACAUUCCAUGGGGAGUACAGGCAACGGCAAAGCCCUGGCAUCAGCACAGGUAGGAGCAGCACCCCAUUAGAUACACCCCAAAUGCUGCAUCCUGCUCAGGCUGACCCUGUUUGCUGUAACACUGAAAAGGAGAAAUGCAAACGUUUUCGUACACAGGAGUUGAACGUGGCAGAUGAGGACAGAUACAGGUUUCUAAAAGAAAAACUUGAAGGUAUGACAGCAAAACUUUGACAUGUUGCUAUUUCCAAUCUUUCUCUAGUCAAGUUCUUCUAACCUUUUAAUAUAUAUACCUUAAAUAAUCAAGUCACAGGAGAAGUCAGAUAUACAUAAAGUUUCGAAAAAGUCAAAUGAUUUCUCUUAAAUAAAAUUCUAGGAAAACAAACCAACCAACUCAACAACACAGCUUCCCCAUUUCCUUUUAGUGUUUUGACAAAGAAUGUCCUCUUUGUUCCCACACAACCCUUCCAUCUCAAGGUAUUUACAAUAUUCACAGUCUGCUGUAAAGCAUCAGUAGAUUAUUACCACUAAAAGGCUACACAACCAAGAUAAGGUAUCCUGCAUUUAUGUCCACUGAACAGAAACACAAAAGAGAAAGUAAAGUAUCACUUUAAAAUAUGCAAAUGAGAUCAAUUCAAGUGUGUUUGUAUUUGAAAUCUAAAACAUAACUUUUUCAAGAGUAAAAGAAUCGACUCUGUCACAGAAGUAAAACCAUUUGACCUUCAGUUUUCCUGAUCUGCCCCUCCCUGCCUCCAUUUUAGAUCAGGCCACUCUCAGUUCUCACAGACACUAAAAUCAAUAGCAAACCCAUACAAAGCAGUUCCUCAUCACAAAAGCCCUUAGAAAUGUGACUUCCCUUCAGACACCAAAACACAAUCACAGGUGCACUCACUCUCCAAUCAGUAACUGCUCUCAGUAGUACAAAACAGGCUGAAGCAAUCUCUACAGAGCAUCACACACCAGCGUACAAGCCUUGCUGUCUUUAGCACCAGAUCAAUCUGUCAAGGAACAAUCCUGUCCCAGUGUUAUACUCCCAUGGAUGCUCUCAAGCUCCUUGGAGCUGAUCAGGCUGUGGCAUGGCAUAGCUACAAACUGAUCCAUGUUUCUGCUUGGAAGUCCUGGCUCCCAGGAAAGCACCAGAGUGUUUUCCUCCUCAGAGGGCAGGGUUGCAAAGUGCUUUUGUGGGGAAUUUUCUAUGCUCCUAUUCAAACUCUGGUGAUUUCCUUGUUUGUUUAUUUGCCAUACUUAGAAGUUCCCACACAAUGAGAUAUCUCCCAAAAAAAGACAAAUUUCAAGUUAUAAAGGAAAUAUCCAUACAUUUCAAGAUUGUGCGGAUGUUGACAUGAUCUGGUAUUUAGGACAAGGACAGAAAUGCACAUAUGGCCUACAAACUUGCUGAUGCAAGAUCAAGAAAUGACAAAUACUCAUCUCCUGCCAAUUCCCUACAGCUGUCAUUGAUGCAAGUCAGUACACAAAUAUUCCAUGUAGUGUCAGAAGUACAAUGCUGGCUUAUGCCAAAACUCCCCAUUUCCAUCAGAGAAAGUGAUGGUUAGCUAGGGACUGUGGUUCUCACUCUGCAGUAAAUCAGGCAUUGGAAAACUGUCAGUAGGAUUAAAAGAAAGCUGAUAAGGUGUUGAGGAAGAAUGGGAAAUGAAAUAUCUCCUUCAUGUAGAAAAACUGAGUUACUGCUUACAAAAUUGUAUAGAAAGAGUCAGACAGUGGUUUGCCAUCCAAGCUAAAGGUUACAAGGAAGUCUGUUAUAGAAAAGAGACAAAAAAGGAGGCUAGACUGCCAUAAGAGGAAACUGGGAGAUUCAUGGCUCAAGUUUGUAAAUGUAAACCCAAAAUUAACGAGCUAUGAAAUAUAACAAUAAUGUUCAAGAGUCGUUACUAAUAGCCCUGAAUUGGCACUUCAGUCUGCAGACCGA